GUGCUCACUUCAGCAGCACAUAUACUAAAGUUGGAAUGAUACAGAGAAUAUCAGCAUGGCCCCUAUGCAAGAAUAGCACACCAAUUACUGACAAUCUCUACAAUACC
This is a small nuclear RNA of Lynx canadensis (Canada lynx), 107 nucleotides long. The record is from RefSeq and is a predicted model, not a curated record. Lineage: Eukaryota; Metazoa; Chordata; Mammalia; Carnivora; Felidae.